GGGGCUGACGUGGUUUUGACAGCAUGUAGAAUUGAUAUGUAAGCAUGUCGAGCGUUGUGAUUCCAGCUCGUAAAUAUCGGAUCUCACACUUUUUAAUUGGCGAAAAUAAUUACGCUCUUGCUGCUUAAUCGAAUCAUAGUAGAUUAAAGCUUAAUUGCGGCACAAGGUUGCUGCGACGAGACAUCCCGCUUAUGGUUCCACCUUGUUCCGGUAAGUAUAUGGGAUGCUGGCAAUUCAGGGUUAGCUGACUUCAAGCUUCGGGGAGUUCGCGAAAUUUAGAAGAUAAGCUAAGGUUUCGGGUGUGCUUUCCCUACCCUUAGUCGAAAACCAAUAAAUCACUAAGCAUGUAGAAAGCCUAUUGGUCGCAUGUUUGGACCAGGGUUCGAUUCCCUGCAGCUCCACAC
This 404-nucleotide transfer-messenger RNA is filed under the name Marinifilum sp. D714. It matches the Rfam family "transfer-messenger RNA". Rfam says of the family: Bacterial tmRNA, also known as 10Sa RNA or SsrA, is named for its dual tRNA and mRNA-like properties. Its role is to liberate the mRNA from a stalled ribosome. The record is from RNAcentral. Lineage: Bacteria; Pseudomonadati; Bacteroidota; Bacteroidia; Marinilabiliales; Marinifilaceae.